RNAcentral lists this ribosomal RNA (477 nucleotides) under uncultured bacterium. RNAcentral's name for it is "partial 16S ribosomal RNA". It matches the Rfam family "Bacterial small subunit ribosomal RNA", at positions 29 to 507 of the family's 1533-position model. The record is from RNAcentral.
AACGAACGCUGGCGGCAUGCUUUACACAUGCAAGUCGAACGGUAACAGGCUAAGUUGAUGAGUUGCGAACGGGUGAGUCAUGUAUCGGAACCUGCCCAGUCGUGGGGGUUAAUUGCUUGUAAGUGCGGCUAACACCGCAUACGACCUGAGGGUGAAAGCGGGGGAUUGCAAGACCUCGCGCGAUUUGAGCGGCCGAUAUUGGAGUAGCUAGUUGGCGGGGUAAAGGUUCACUAAGCCGACGACCAGUAGCUGGCCUGAGAGGACGACCAGCCACACUGGGGGUGAGACGCGGACCAGACUCCUACGAGAAGCAGCAGUGGGGAAUUUUGGACAGUAGGGGGGAGCCUGGUCCAACGAUACCACGUGCGAGAAGAAGGCCUUCAGGUUGGAAAGCGCUUUUGUGGGGGAAGAAAAGUUUCUGGCUAAUACGUAGGGUUCGUGACGGUACCUGAAGAAGAAGCACCGGCUAACUACGUG